This 353-nucleotide unclassified non-coding RNA is filed under the name soil metagenome. RNAcentral's name for it is "partial contains 5.8S ribosomal RNA, internal transcribed spacer 2, and large subunit ribosomal RNA". The stretch from base 1 to 121 matches the Rfam family "5.8S ribosomal RNA", at positions 35 to 154 of the family's 154-position model. The record is from RNAcentral.
GAUGAAGAACGUAGCGAAAUGCGAUAAGUCAUGCGAAUUGCAGAAUUUCCGUGAGUCAUCGAAUCUUUGAACGCACAUUGCGCCCACUGGUAUUCCGGUGGGCAUGCCUGUUCGAGCGUCAUUAUCCUCCCUCAAAACUCCUGUUUUGGUGUUGGGCCGCGUUGGUCACCUCCGACCAACGGGCCUUAAAGACAAUGACGGCGUCCGUGGGACCCUCUUCGCAGUGAGCUUUUGUUAGCGCGCGUUGAGUUUAAAGGACCUUCCGGGCCGGCCACCUUUUAUCUAUUUUACAAGGUUGACCUCGGAUCAGGUAGGAAUACCCGCUGAACUUAAGCAUAUCAAUAAGCGGAGGA